CUGUGGUUGAAAUUAUUUAAUCUGACUCUUCUCAGAGUGAACAGUUGUACAAUGGAUCUUCAUUCAUUUAUUCUGUUCUGUGCCUCAACCGCUUCUGUCUUUGGGAAUGUCAUUAAACCAAACAAAACAGAUGUUUUUGCUGAGGAGGGUUCAAGUGUUACAUUGUCUUGUAGUUAUUCUGCAUCUGGAGGUACAGAUUAUCUCCACUGGUAUCGUCAGUAUGAAAGAUCAAAACCAGAAUUUCUUGUACUGACCUACAGUGGUGUAAAAGGAGCUAAAGAGUCUGAUGUAGAUCCAAGAUUCACUGUUAACAUUACAAAAAGGGAACAUGUGGAUCUGAUCAUCUCCUCUGCUGCUGUAUCAGACUCUGCUCUCUUCUACUGUGCUCUGCAGCCCACACUGACAGGAAACACAUCAGCUCUCUACAAAAACCUGUUACAAUGAGAGACAGCAGAGAAACAGAGACAGAGAGAAAAAUUGUAACAAAGAAGCUAGUAUACAAAUAUUUCAAUAAUCUAAUGCAAAAAGGAUCAAAACAAAGCAAAAAUCUACAUUCUAAAGUGAGUCAAAUUAUGUUUAAUUUGUUAAUUAGGGAGGUCGUGGCCUAGUGGUUAGAGAGUUUUACUCCUAACCCUUAGGUUGUGGGUUUGAGUCUCCGGUCAGCAAUACCACGACUGAGGUGCCCUUGAGCAAGGCACCAAACCCCACCUGCUCCCCGGGCGCCACAGCAUAAAUGGCUUCCCACUGCUCCGGGUGUGUGUUCACUGCUGUGUGUGUGUGUGUGUGUGUGUGGAUGGGUUAAAUGCAGAGUACGAAUUCUGAGUAUGGGUCACCAUAUUUGGCUGU
Molecule: non-coding RNA, 846 nt
Organism: Carassius carassius (crucian carp)
Lineage: Eukaryota; Metazoa; Chordata; Actinopteri; Cypriniformes; Cyprinidae
Source: the annotation of a RefSeq genome assembly